This 454-nucleotide long non-coding RNA is filed under the name Homo sapiens (human). RNAcentral describes it as "non-protein coding lnc-AKR1B1-2:1". Lineage: Eukaryota; Metazoa; Chordata; Mammalia; Primates; Hominidae. The record is from RNAcentral.
AGAAUAUGAGAAGUUAAACCAGGGACCAUGCCAGAAGGUUCUCUCACUGAUCCCCCAAGUACAGUCUACAGAAAACUACCUUGACUCCACUCCUCCAGAACCCCUUCACCCUGUGGCACUGGCUGGGCACCUUGUUUGUCUUCAUUGGGACCUUAAUGUACACAGAGGUGUGGAACAACCUAGGGACCACAAAAAGUGAGCCUCAGAAGGACAGCAAGAAGAACUGAGGCCUGUCUGGAGUACGUAGACCAGUGUCGUCGUGAGGGUGGGACCCUGUGAAGGUCUGACCACCGUUUCGCUUUUGUUAAUGCCGAGCUACCCGCAGUGCUGAGCCAGCCGUGCAAAAGGAAAUCUUCAGGAGGGGACUUCUCACGUUGCUCAGACUGACACAUGUAGACUAAAUAGAAACCCCUCAGCCCUAAAAUAGAAAAAAGAACAGUUCUGGACUAUUGAA